GACGAACCGUACGAACGUUAUUCGGAAUUACUGGGCUUAAAGGGUGCGUAGGCGGCGCAGUAAGUUGGGUGUGAAAUCCCUCGGCUUAACCGAGGAAUUGCGCCCAAAACUACUGUGCUCGAGGGAGAUAGAGGUGAGCGGAACUUAGGGUGGAGCGGUGAAAUGCGUUGAUAUCCUAAGGAACACCGGUGGCGAAAGCGGCUCACUGGAUCUCUUCUGACGCUGAGGAGCGAAAGCGUGGGGAGCGAACAGG
Molecule: ribosomal RNA, 253 nt
Filed under: uncultured bacterium
Lineage: Bacteria
Description: partial 16S ribosomal RNA
Rfam family: Bacterial small subunit ribosomal RNA
Source: RNAcentral